This 452-nucleotide ribosomal RNA is filed under the name uncultured Levilinea sp. Its description in RNAcentral is "bacterial SSU rRNA". It matches the Rfam family "Bacterial small subunit ribosomal RNA", at positions 920 to 1378 of the family's 1533-position model. The record is from RNAcentral. Lineage: Bacteria; Bacillati; Chloroflexota; Anaerolineae; Anaerolineales; Anaerolineaceae.
CGGCCCGCACAAGCAGCGGAGCGUGUUGGUUUAAUUCGAUGAUACACGAAGAACCUUACCAGGGUUUGACAUGCUGGUAGUAGGGAUCCGAAAGGUGACCGACCCUCGGGGAGCCAGCACAGGUGCUGCAUGGCUGUCGUCAGCUCGUGUCGUGAGAUGUUCGGUUAAGUCCGCUAACGAGCGCAACCCUUGCUGUGUGUUACAUGUGUCACACGGGACUGCCGGUCUUAAACCGGAGGAAGGUGGGGAUGAUGUCAAGUCAGCAUGGCCUUUAUAUCCUGGGCUACACACACGCUACAAUGGCCGGUACAAUAGGUUGCGAAGCCGCGAGGCGGAGCCAAUCCUCAAAGCCGGCCUCAGUUCAGAUUGCAGGCUGCAACCCGCCUGCAUGAAGAUGGAGUUGCUAGUAACCGCAGGUCAGCAAUACUGCGGUGAAUACGUUCCCGGGGCUU